CCCACCAUAUCUCUCUCUCCCUCGCCCUUUCCCCUCCUCCUUCCCCAAAUCCCUAAAUCUAAACUCACCCCCUCCCCCCAAUUUCUCUCUCUCUCUCUCUCUAUCUAUCUGUGAAGUACUCCCGCAAUUGACCCAUUGCCGCUGCCUCCGCCUUCAGUUGUUGCCACCUCCAGCUUGAUCAGGCUUCGCCUCUGCGUUCGUAGCGGCCAAAUUAUCCUUCGCCUUCGCCGCCUCAAAUAAGGUACCUUUUAAUUUACAUGGACCGCAUGGUGUCUUGAGACAUCUGAAGUACUUAAUUGAGACAAAGGGAUCAGCUUUUGUCUAUGUGGCAGAGGGAGCUGGGCAGGGAGGAUUUGGAAUUGGGGCCAGAGGCGCACAACAGGGGAUUUUGAAAGCUGGGCGGCGCACAGAGCAAUUGAAAGAGUUGAAGCAGCGCACGAAGGAACUGAAGGAAUCAACUGAGGCUUGUGCGGCGGAACAGAGAGAAAUUGGGGAAACCUGGUAUAACAGAGAGAGAGAAGGCGGCGCACGGAGGAGCAAAGCAGCCAUGAAAAUCAAUAAUUCUUAGAUUUUAAUUUUGAAUUAAUUUUUUUAAUUAUUAAUUCUUCAGUUCUUGAAUUAAUUCUUGGAUUUUAAUUAUAUUUUUUUAGAAUUUAAUUAUGAUGAUUUCUGUUAUCAUGAUUGGCUAAAUUUGUUGUUAGCUAAGGUAACGAGAUAGCCACGAAACAAUGUUGUGAUUGAUAUUAUUUUCGGUUAAUUUGAUUGAUGUUUAUUUUA
This is a long non-coding RNA of Diospyros lotus (date-plum), 777 nucleotides long. RefSeq lists it as uncharacterized. The transcript is spliced from 3 exons. Lineage: Eukaryota; Viridiplantae; Streptophyta; Magnoliopsida; Ericales; Ebenaceae. The record is from RefSeq and is a predicted model, not a curated record.